CACAGAACCUGAAGAACAAGAAGAACAGCAGGUCAUUGACAGAGUGCAGACAAACACCAUGCCAGCAAACACAAAAGGCAGAUGGUCAGAGGAUGAAGUUGAUUGGAUCAUGGCUGGCAUCAAACUGACUGCAAGGAAUGCCUAUAAAGAGUACCUGAAAAAAUGCAAAGAGUUUGUGAGACCCGCAAGAACAUUUGCUGCUUUCAGAAGAAAGAGAGAGAGGAUGAUUGAGGCAUUUGGACCAGCAGACUAAUUCACGUGGAAGACAAUUUAAAUGUGUUUCGUUGAACGAAAAAGGCCAACCAACACCCUUACUAAACCCAACAUUUUGGAGGAAUAUCCCUAUUUCUUGAUUUUUUAUUAUGUUUUCCUUAAAUUUAUUGGGUGACAUCUUAUUUUUUGGUUCAUUUGAACUGGCUUUAAACUAAUCAUGACUCAU
Long non-coding RNA from Tachysurus fulvidraco (yellow catfish), 439 nucleotides. RefSeq lists it as uncharacterized. The record is from RefSeq and is a predicted model, not a curated record. The transcript has 3 exons. Lineage: Eukaryota; Metazoa; Chordata; Actinopteri; Siluriformes; Bagridae.